AUGCCGAGGUGAGGACACUUUCUAAAUAACUCCUUAAACCGCUCCCAUGCCUCGUGAAACUCUUCAUGUGGCUUUUGAGCACAAGAUAAAAUUUGAAUUCUCAUAUC
Molecule: small nucleolar RNA, 107 nt
Organism: Malus domestica (apple)
Lineage: Eukaryota; Viridiplantae; Streptophyta; Magnoliopsida; Rosales; Rosaceae
Source: RefSeq, a predicted model, not a curated record